UGGGAGAACUAAAAAGAAAGGUGCUGGGU
This 29-nucleotide non-coding RNA is filed under the name Mus musculus (house mouse). The record is from RNAcentral. Lineage: Eukaryota; Metazoa; Chordata; Mammalia; Rodentia; Muridae.